This is a non-coding RNA of Cucumis melo (muskmelon), 109 nucleotides long. Lineage: Eukaryota; Viridiplantae; Streptophyta; Magnoliopsida; Cucurbitales; Cucurbitaceae. The record is from RefSeq and is marked provisional.
AUGGUUUACAACCUCCCUCAAAGGCUUCCAAUAUUCUUUACAUUAUUAUUGGAAAUGAUAUACAUGAUGUAGUGAUUGUUGGGAGCCCAACAGGGAGGCUGAAAAGCUU